This 447-nucleotide ribosomal RNA is filed under the name Triticum aestivum (bread wheat). RNAcentral's name for it is "partial small subunit ribosomal RNA". The record is from RNAcentral. Lineage: Eukaryota; Viridiplantae; Streptophyta; Magnoliopsida; Poales; Poaceae.
AUGGAAAGAAUCAAUGCUAAUCCUAUCUGGGGUAAGGUUUGGAAAUUAUCUUGUCCGGCAAAGGUUAAAAUUUUCAUCUGGCGUACCUUGCAUGCAACCCUCCCAUGUUGGGUUAUACUUGCUAAUAGACACAUGAAAGUUUCACCCAAUUUCCCAUCAUGCUCGAAGGGGGCAGAAGAUACAAAACAUAUUUUAUUCAUGUGUCAAAAGGCAAAGAAGGUAUGGGGCAAGUUAGGACUACAUGAGGUGAUCAAUAAAGCAUGUGCUACUGAUCGUGCGGGAGAGGCGGUCUUGGAAUUCUUACUACUUAUGCCAGAACAUGAAUUAGUGAUAGUGGGUUCUCAAAAAGCACGUGAACUGAUCGCUAUUACAGCCUGGUACUUAUGGUGGGAUAGACGAAACUGGUUCAUGAAGGAAAGUUUCAAGAUGCAAACCAAAUUUCCAUGA